RNAcentral lists this long non-coding RNA (677 nucleotides) under Medicago truncatula (barrel medic). RNAcentral's name for it is "lncRNA gene20905". Lineage: Eukaryota; Viridiplantae; Streptophyta; Magnoliopsida; Fabales; Fabaceae. The record is from RNAcentral.
UGAAUAAGACUAGAUCUUCAUUGAUAUUCAAGAGAGUUCAUACAAAUUUACAUGGUCAUAUAUAGCUUACAAAAGAUUCAUCUCAGGCUUAACCACAAUGAAAUUAAUUACUCAUAUCUAAAGAUUCAUCUCAGGCUUAACCACAAUGAAACCGUGGCUCAAUUUUCAGCUUUCUAUGAAUCCUUGAUUUCUAUCUAUUUCAGCUUCAAAUACUCCAUUAUUACGCUGAACUCAACUGAAAAUCCAUAAAAAUAGCUAACAAAACAAAUUUGACAUGGUGCCAUCAUAAGGAGACAGUAUAAAUAAAACUCUCUUUGCUAUCUUAUUUCAUUUCCAUUAUCUUAGAGGACAAAAUCAUAACUUCAAGGUCCAUGAAAUUAGGAAAAAACAGAAGAAGAAAAAAUAAUUAUUGAGAGCAUGCACAAAAACUAAAUGACAACAAGUGAAAUAUUCUAGCAUAAGGUAUAUCGUACGGUUCUCCUGCUAGAGAAAGAACUCAUUUAUCUCAUUAGGAUAUAUUUUAGAUCGGCGGCACACAUGUGCCUUUACGACACCUAAAAUUAGCUCCAUAAAGUUUUGGACAAUCUUUAUCUCUUUUACAAGAGCUGAUAAAAGUACCCAAGAAACUAGAAUUAGAAACUAUCAUGCUAAGAAAUAUGGAAAGAAAUAGAAUUAGA